Molecule: non-coding RNA, 345 nt
Organism: Cinara cedri
Lineage: Eukaryota; Metazoa; Arthropoda; Insecta; Hemiptera; Aphididae
Source: the annotation of a GenBank genome assembly
CGAACCGUGUUAUUGAAUUCGGCGUCUUUUCAGAUAUGCUGCGUGGGAAAAAAAAUGAAACGAAAAUAUCUGGGUAACAGCCCCGUCGUCUAAUCUAAAAUCAUUCGAAGAGCGAGACGGCCACGAGAGCGGUUGAUGUCGAAAAUCGGGCUUCGAAACACCCGUUCGUUCGCUUCUGUAAACGAAAUGCUUCCGGAAAUCCCGGGUGUGUGCUAGUGUCGGCGGCGAACGCGCGUAAAAAAAAAUAUCGAUUUCUAUUCAUCGAAAUCUCGCCAGUCGUCACCUUCAACCCGUGUCCGUAAACGAAUUGUCCGCCAAAAAUCUCCGUUGUGCCGGUCGCGACCC